This 430-nucleotide ribosomal RNA is filed under the name Symploce maxima. RNAcentral's name for it is "Episymploce maxima partial large subunit ribosomal RNA". It matches the Rfam family "Archaeal large subunit ribosomal RNA", at positions 1922 to 2592 of the family's 2987-position model. The record is from RNAcentral. Lineage: Eukaryota; Metazoa; Arthropoda; Insecta; Blattodea; Blattellidae.
CUCUUUUCGUGUAUGUGGAAAGUAUAACCUGCCCACUGACUAAGGUUGAAGGGCCGCGGUAAUUUGACCGUGCAAAGGUAGCAUAAUCAUUAGUUUCUUAAUUGGAGGCUGGAAUGAAUGGUUGGACGAAAUACAUACUGUCUUGUAAUUUGUGUUAGAAUUUAAUAUUUAAGUAAGAAAGCUUAAAUUUUUUUGUGGGACGAGAAGACCCUAUAGAGUUUAAUAAUUUAUGUUAUAUAUUGGGUUUGAUUUAAUUAGAUUAUAAACGUGAUUAUUUUGUUGGGGUGACAGAAAGAUAAUAUAAACUCUUUUUUUUGUGAAAAUUGAUGUAUAGAAUUUGGAUCCACUUUUAGUGAUUAUAAGACUAAAUUACCUUAGGGAUAACAGCGUAAUCUUUUUUGAGAGUUCAAAUCGACAAAAGGGGUUGCGA